Symphalangus syndactylus (siamang) is the source of this 1160-nucleotide long non-coding RNA. RefSeq lists it as uncharacterized. Lineage: Eukaryota; Metazoa; Chordata; Mammalia; Primates; Hylobatidae. The record is from RefSeq and is a predicted model, not a curated record.
CAGGAAGUGAAGACCAGAGUCAGGGGACUUUCAGAACCUGUCUUUCCUUCACAAGAAUUCAGGGUCUCAGUCUGCCACCCUAGCUGGAGUUGCAGUGGCGUGAUCAUAGCUCACUGAAGCCUGGAACUCCUCGGCUCAAGUUUCCUCCUGCAUCAGCCUAAGUAGCUGGGACUACAGGUGUGCAUCACCACUGUGCCUGGCCUGAAAAUAUUUAUUGAACACCACCUUGUGUACAGACUGCUGUGGAAGGAUGAAGAAGAAAUUGGAGGUCUUCAUUCUGUUGUUGAGGAGCUACCGUAUAAAUUGGAGCUGAAAGCCUGUGAAAACUGAUGUAAAUGCUUAUGAAAUAGUGGAGAAAGGACAAAUGAGCACUUCGACAAAGAAAGGGGAGGGACAGGAUAUUUUAUGUUUCUUCCCACUCUGACAGUGGCUGCCAGGGGCUGCCUUUCUGCAGCAAACUUCCCAUGUUUUCUUUUUAUAAGGUUUUUGGCCACCUAUUAAUUUUCUUCUGCCUUCUCUGGUUGAUCUUAUUCUGAUUUAGUUUCCUUUUGGGCAAGGAUGUGGGUCUAAUCAUUAACUCAGCCUACAAGCUUGUUGCCUUCAAAGAGUAACUCCUUCAAUCCAGGGGGCCGCGGUGGGGAAAAAAAUACCCAACACUUUUAAAGGAAAGCCAAAAAAAAAAAAAAAGGAAUUUAAAUUUUGCUCUUUGAAAACAAGAGAAGGAUAAAAUACUCUAUUGCCUGCUUUUAAAAUUAAGGGCUCUCCUUUAUAACUGUAUGCAGCACUUUACUCAAUACAUGUGACUAAUAGAAUAAAUUUCAAGACCGUAUUUUGGCCAGUGAAAGGAAAGAUGCUGUAGAGGAAAUGUUUAGAUGGGGAAAUGAAGAGCUCAGAAAAGAGGCAGAUUCAACCUUGAUAUUUUCCAAAUUCCUGAAAAACAAAUUCUGUAAGGGUGCAUAUGUAGUUCCCGGGCGGCACAGAGUGGUGGAAACACCAUGUGCAUUGGGGCCAGGCAGGCAGGCACGGGGUGUUCUGGGUAAUUUUCAGCAGUGGCUUCUGCUUUCAGCCCAGGUUGCUUUGUGGGGUUAUCAAUCAGUAAUGAGAAAAAUGUGCAUGAAAUAUCUGGCACAGGCAGACUUUAAAUAAAUGUUAAAAACAAA